AGGAGCGGUAGGGGAGCGUUCCUGCUGCGAUGAAGCCGCCUGGCGAUGGGUGGUGGAGCGGUAGGAAGUGCGAAUGCUGACAUGAGUAGCGACAAACAAGGUGAAAACCCUUGUCGCCGAAAGCCCAAGGUUUCCUGUCCAAGGACAAUCCGGGCAGGGUAAGUCGGUCCCUAAGGCGAAGCCGAACGGCGUAGUCGAUGGGAAGCAGGUUAAUAUUCCUGCACCAGCAGUUCAGAGUGAAGCAGGGACGGAGAAGGGUAGAUCAUCCGGGAUGUGGUAUCCCGGUACAAGCCCCGUAGAGGGAAACGAUUGGAACAAAACGUCGUUUCAACCUCGAGAGGUGAUGUCGUGGUCUUCGGACCGAAGUGAUUGAGCCCACGCUUCCAAGAAAAGCUGCGAUCCACGUUGAAGAACUGUUGACCGUACCGGAAACCGACUCAGGUGGGCGGGUGGAGUACACCAAGGCGUUUGAGAGAACUCUGGUUAAGGAACUCGGCAA
Molecule: ribosomal RNA, 499 nt
Filed under: uncultured bacterium
Lineage: Bacteria
Description: bacterial LSU rRNA
Rfam family: Bacterial large subunit ribosomal RNA
Source: RNAcentral